GACGAACCGUCCAAACGUUGUUCGGAAUCACUGGGCUUAAAGGGAGCGUAGGCGGGCUGCCAAGUCCGGGGUGAAAUCCUCCAGCUCAACUGGAGAACUGCCUCGGAUACUGGAAGUCUCGAGGAGGGUAGGGGCAUGCGGAACCGUGGGUGGAGCGGUGAAAUGCGUUGAUAUCAUUUGGAACGCCAAUGGUGAAAACAGGUAGCUGGGAGUGUGCUGACACUGAGACACGAAAGCCAGGGGAGCGAACGGG
RNAcentral lists this ribosomal RNA (253 nucleotides) under uncultured bacterium. RNAcentral describes it as "partial 16S ribosomal RNA". It matches the Rfam family "Bacterial small subunit ribosomal RNA", at positions 524 to 776 of the family's 1533-position model. The record is from RNAcentral.